UUUUAGAAACGAUGGUGGCCUUAAAGGUAGAUGUUCAACUAUUGUUUCUGCAUCUGGUUCAUCUGGAAGGGUCAAUAUCUGCAAUUAUGGAAAGAAUUCCAAGCAAGUGACAACGUUCGGUUUGGCAUGCUCCAUGGAGAAAUAGUAGGGCUACAUUAAGAUAUAUCAAGGUUGGAGACCAAAGUUGAGAGGCUAAAGUCGGUAGUACAAGUUAAAGAUAGGGAGAUUGCAACAGUUACACGAAUAGAAGCCAAAGGUAAGGCUGCUUUUAAAGCUCAAAUUGACAAGCUACAGUAGGAAAAUGUUGAACUCCAGAGAAGGGUUAUUGGCAAUCAGCAAGUAAGAACUCAACAAAUACAUGAGAUGAAGAAGAAAGAAAAGGAGUACAUCAAAUUGCAGCUGAGAUAGGAGCUUUUGUAUGUCUAAACCAAGUCUUAAGGGAGAAAAAGAAAGAAUUCCUACCAAACCCUUCCACCAAGACCAUAGAAUUCCCUUGAAGAGGCAGAAUACAUAAUCAUCAGUCUAAAGCUUACUGUACUCAAGAGACAAAAGAGUUGAAUUGAAAUGUUCAUCAUGUUUGAAAUGCCAACAAAGUUAAAUGGUAGAUGAGAUGUGUUGAAUUCGUGAUUGACUCAAAGCUACAUUAAGAUAUAUCAAGGUUGGAGACCAAAGUUGAGAGGCUAAAGUCGGUAGUACAAGUUAAAGAUAGGGAGAUUGCAACAGUUACACGAAUAGAAGCCAAAGGUAAGGCUGCUUUUAAAGCUCAAAUUGACAAGCUACAGUAGGAAAAUGUUGAACUCCAGAGAAGGGUUAUUGGCAAUCAGCAAGUAAGAACUCAACAAAUACAUGAGAUGAAGAAGAAAGAAAAGGAGUACAUCAAAUUGUGUGUGAGAUACCUUUUAGUUAUUUUUCGGUUCUAGGCUCAAGUUGGAUUCAGGUUAUAUAGGAGUUUUUGUAUGUCUAAACCAAGUCAAGUCUUAAUGGAGAAAAAGAAAGAAUCUAUAUCAGGAACGGAGAUAAUGAAUUUGCUACAA
Cucumis sativus (cucumber) is the source of this 1034-nucleotide long non-coding RNA. RefSeq lists it as uncharacterized. The record is from RefSeq and is a predicted model, not a curated record. The transcript is spliced from 9 exons. NCBI's taxonomy places the organism in Eukaryota, Viridiplantae, Streptophyta, Magnoliopsida, Cucurbitales, Cucurbitaceae.